This 254-nucleotide ribosomal RNA is filed under the name uncultured bacterium. RNAcentral describes it as "partial 16S ribosomal RNA". It matches the Rfam family "Bacterial small subunit ribosomal RNA", at positions 524 to 776 of the family's 1533-position model. The record is from RNAcentral.
UACGGGGGGAGCAAGCGUUGUUCGGAUUUACUGGGCGUAAAGGGCGCGUAGGCGGCCUCCGCAAGUCAGUUGUGAAAUCUCCGAGCUUAACUCGGAAAGGUCAACUGAUACUGCGGGGCUAGAGUGCGGAAGGGGCAACUGGAAUUCUUGGUGUAGCGGUGAAAUGCGUAGAUAUCAGGAGGAACACCGGUGGCGAAGGCGGCUCUCUGGACGGUGACUGACGCUGAGACGCGAAAGCGUGGGGAGCAAACAGG